RNAcentral lists this ribosomal RNA (427 nucleotides) under uncultured beta proteobacterium. RNAcentral's name for it is "bacterial SSU rRNA". It matches the Rfam family "Bacterial small subunit ribosomal RNA", at positions 355 to 774 of the family's 1533-position model. Lineage: Bacteria; Pseudomonadati; Pseudomonadota; Betaproteobacteria. The record is from RNAcentral.
UGGGGAAUAUUGGACAAUGGGCGAAAGCCUGAUCCAGCCAUGCCGCGUGAGUGAUGAAGGCCUUAGGGUUGUAAAGCUCUUUUAGUCGGAAAGAAAGAGUUGCAAUGAAUAAUUGUGAUUUAUGACGGUACCGACAGAAAAAGCACCGGCUAACUACGUGCCAGCAGCCGCGGUAAUACGUAGGGUGCGAGCGUUAAUCGGAAUUACUGGGCGUAAAGGGUGCGCAGGCGGUCUUGCAAGUCAGAUGUGAAAGCCCCGGGCUUAACCUGGGAAUUGCGUUUGAAACUACAAGGCUAGAGUGCAGCAGAGGGGAGUGGAAUUCCAUGUGUAGCAGUGAAAUGCGUAGAGAUGUGGAAGAACACCGAUGGCGAAGGCAGCUCCCUGGGUUGACACUGACGCUCAUGCACGAAAGCGUGGGGAGCAAACA